Molecule: ribosomal RNA, 484 nt
Filed under: uncultured bacterium
Lineage: Bacteria
Description: partial 16S ribosomal RNA
Rfam family: Bacterial small subunit ribosomal RNA
Source: RNAcentral
AUUGAACGCUGGCGGCAGGCCUAACACAUGCAAGUCGAGCGGAUGAAGGGAGCUUGCUCCUGGAUUCAGCGGCGGACGGGUGAGUAAUGCCUAGGAAUCUGCCUGGUAGUGGGGGAUAACGUCCGGAAACGGGCGCUAAUACCGCAUACGUCCUGAGGGAGAAAGUGGGGGAUCUUCGGACCUCACGCUAUCAGAUGAGCCUAGGUCGGAUUAGCUAGUUGGUGGGGUAAAGGCCUACCAAGGCGACGAUCCGUAACUGGUCUGAGAGGAUGAUCAGGCACACUGGAACUGAGACGCGGUCCUGACUCCUACGGGAGGCAGCAGUGGGGAAUAUUGGACAAUGGGCGAAAGCCUGAUCCAGCCAUGCCGCGUGUGUGAAGAAGGUCUUCGGAUUGUAAAGCACUUUAAGUUGGGAGGAAGGGCAGUAAGUUAAUACCUUGCUGUUUUGACGUUACCAACAGAAUAAGCACCGGCUAACUUCGUG